This 20-nucleotide non-coding RNA is filed under the name Arabidopsis thaliana (thale cress). Lineage: Eukaryota; Viridiplantae; Streptophyta; Magnoliopsida; Brassicales; Brassicaceae. The record is from RNAcentral. RNAcentral also lists the same sequence under 2 other names.
CUCAAAGAUUAAGCCAUGCA